UACGGAGGGUGCAAGCGUUAAUCGGAAUAACUGGGCGUAAAGGGCAUGCAGGCGGUUAUACAAGUAGGAUGUGAAAGCCUGGGGCUCAACCUCAGAACUGCAUUCUAAACUGUGUGACUAGAGUAUUGCAGGGGGAGACGGAAUUUCGGGUGUAGCGGUGGAAUGCGUAGAUAUCUGAAAGAACACCAAAGGCGAAGGCAGUCUCCUGGGCAAAUACUGACGCUCAUAUGCGAAAGCGUGGGUAGCAAACAGG
Molecule: ribosomal RNA, 253 nt
Filed under: uncultured bacterium
Lineage: Bacteria
Description: partial 16S ribosomal RNA
Rfam family: Bacterial small subunit ribosomal RNA
Source: RNAcentral